CGCUUCUCCAUAACGAUUGUUUAAAACCGAAGGAACAACACAAAAGCAGCAUAUAUCCUGAGAUGGUGAUAUCUAAGUCGAUGAUCCUUGAGCACAGUAAUGAGGAGACCUGUGUGGUCUGGGGCAGACAGUACACAUCAAGGUUUGUAGGACAAAUGGCUUGUGCUUGGCCUUCUUCUUUUUUUCAACUUCCUUUCCCUGAAAUGACAAACAGUGACAGAACUAGGAAGACCGAGGCUUCAGUUCACGGUUAUCGUCACAAAGAUGUGAGUUACAGGAAGUGGAUGCCAGUCACAGCUGGUGCAGGGCCAGUUGCAGAAGGAAGCUUUAGGGUACAACCUGAGUUUAAUUUUAGAGGAAAACAAAUACACAAGACAAAUACUUCAUGUUACCAAUUUCUCUCUUAAAAAAAAAUCAGUUACGAUUUUAAUGAAAUUGAAUGAGCUCUUCUUGCUCAGAGUAAAUAUGUGCUCAAAACCCAAAACAAAUCAGUCAUUUGAGAGAAAUUCUUUCCAUUUCUAAGCCUACAGAUUUGUUGACCACACCAUGUAGGCGUGGCUAGGGUCUCUGCCAGCAUAUCAGAAGGUUGAAAUCAAGGUGUUGGCUGAACUGAGUUCUCAUCUGGAGGCUGUAGGGGAAAAAAACCCUCCUUGAAGCUUGUUCUUAUUGUUGGCAGAAUUCAGUUCCUUGAGCUCUAAGACUGAGGACUGAAUGUUAUUUUCAUGCUGACUGUCAGCCAGUGGCUACAGGCUGCCCGAAUUCCUUGCUGUGUGACUUCCUCCAUCUUCAAGCCUGCAGUGGUAUGCUGAAUCCUCAUGCUCCAAAUUUCUGUCUCCCUCUUCUGCGAUGAGCCAGAGAAAACUCUUUGCUUUUAAAGAGCUCACGUGAUUCGGUCAGGCCGACCAGGAUAAUCUCUCUAUCUGAAGGUCAGCUGUGCUAUGUAAUAUAACCUAGUCGUGGGAGUAAAAUCCAUCAUAUUCACAGUCCUGGGGAUUAUACAGUGUGUUUACACUAAGCAUGGGGACCUUGGGGAACAUCUUUGAAUUCUGCCUACCACACUCAGCUUCAAGAGUUAUCAACCCAUGGCCCAUCUUGUUUCAUUUUGUUGCAGGAUGGGCUCCCUGGGAAGCAGGCUCUGAGAUGAAGCUUAGCUUGCGGGAAGUAUAGUGGGAGUGACUUGAGGAUCACCUUUGGGCAAGGGAGGAGAAGGAAGCAGGAUGGGGAAGAGGGAGCUCUGAAGCUGGGAUGGUCCUUCAAACGUGUCCCAAGGUGGGCAACUCUACAUGGACAAAACCCUGGAUGUGGGCUGCUCCAGGCAGGGGUUCACUGAGGGUCAGGUACUCCCUGAGGGUACUGACAGAGACAGGGCGUCUCUUGGCCACACAUCAGCAGGUGAGGGGGUAAACUUCUCAUUUCUGAUGGGUACAUGACAGCGAUUGCAUGGCACUGCCCUUCUAUACCCCUCUCACUUCCACUCAUCCAGCAACAUUUUGAAUUAAAUCCCAGACAUCAUAUUACUUCAUCUAUAAACAUUUCAGUAUGUGCCUUCAAAACACAAAGAACUAUGGUAUCAUUAUCUCACCGAAAUUAAAUUAAUAAUUCAUAUUAUAAAAAUGCAGCUACAGAUGGCAAUUAGACUUUGGGUGGUGAACCCAAGGUGGUCUACAAGAAAUUGAAAUAUAAUGAUGUACACCCGAAAUUAAAAAAAUAAAUAAAAAUGCAGGCGCUGGCCCCGUGGCCGAGUGGUUAAGUUGGCACGCUCCGCUGCAGGCAGCCCAGUGUUUCAUUGGCGCGGGUGUGGACAUGGCACUGCUCAUCAAACCACGCUGAGGUGGCGUCCCACAUGCCACAACUAGAAGGACCCACAACCAAGUAUAUACAACUAUGUACCAGGGAGCCUUGGGGAGAAAAAGGAAAAAAAUAAAAUCUUAAAAAAAAAAAAAAAUGCACUUAGUGCCAAAAUUUUAAAUUGUCUCAUAAAUGUCAUAACUUUCUCUCUGUCUGUUUCUCUGUAGUUUGCUUGUCUGGGGAACUGGAAUUGGCCACCCCAAGAUUUGUCUCUUUGGUAUGAGGAUUAUUUUGGGCUGGUUACUUUUAAAAACUGCAGACAUGAGAGAAACUCUGAAAAGCAGAAGUUACCCUUUGCAAGAGACAUUUAUUUGUAAGGGAAAUCUCCAUCUGUAGAGGUGUCUCCCUCUUUGUACCAGGAAGAAGGGGGGAUGACCUUAUCUCUAGAAACUCUUAAUCAAUGCAGAAGUCAAUGACGUAAAUCUGCAUACUAACCUGACUCCUGUUUACUGUGCUUUUCUGGUAAUCUCCCAUUACUGUCUCCUCCCACCCCCAACAUCCUCUUUUGUCUUUAGCUGAGGAUUGUAUUUAGGAUGGUGGCUUCUGCCAUUUUGGACCUGAGAGCCAUUCUUUGAAAUGCAAAUGUUUCGCAUAAACUAGUGAGUUUUGUAUUGCACCUGAUUCACAGCAAAAAUUUAAUGGAAGCUGUGAGGUCUCUGCCCG
RNAcentral lists this long non-coding RNA (2511 nucleotides) under Equus caballus (horse). RNAcentral describes it as "lncRNA (ENSECAG00000049700.1)". The record is from RNAcentral. Lineage: Eukaryota; Metazoa; Chordata; Mammalia; Perissodactyla; Equidae.